Molecule: ribosomal RNA, 427 nt
Filed under: uncultured bacterium
Lineage: Bacteria
Description: bacterial SSU rRNA
Rfam family: Bacterial small subunit ribosomal RNA
Source: RNAcentral
UGGGGAAUAUUGGACAAUGGGCGCAAGCCUGAUCCAGCCAUGCCGCGUGGGUGAAGAAGGCCUUCGGGUUGUAAAGCCCUUUUGUCCGGAAAGAAAAGUUCUGGGUUAAUAACCCAGGAUCAUGACGGUACCGGAAGAAUAAGCACCGGCUAACUUCGUGCCAGCAGCCGCGGUAAUACGAAGGGUGCAAGCGUUACUCGGAAUUACUGGGCGUAAAGCGUGCGUAGGUGGUGGUUUAAGUCAGAUGUGAAAGCCCUGGGCUCAACCUGGGAACUGCAUUUGAUACUGGAUCACUAGAGUGCGGUAGAGGAUAGUGGAAUUCCCGGUGUAGCAGUGAAAUGCGUAGAGAUCGGGAGGAACACCAGUGGCGAAGGCGACUAUCUGGACCAGCACUGACACUGAGGCACGAAAGCGUGGGGAGCAAACA